UUGAAAAUGAUUUGUAAUGGGUUGCUUGGGGCAAGCAACGGUUAAGUGUGGGGAUGUGACGGAUGAUGGUCCAUGGGAUAACCCUUAAGUGUGUUAAAAGACGAGUGAAUCCCUCAUUUGAUCAUGUAAUUGUCUUGAAUUAGAUAACUACGGUUGCUUGUGUUUCAGGUACAUUUAGAGCUUAAAAGUAUGGAAAUAAAGCUUCGAAUAGACACGACUGGAUUGUAGAUUGAAAGACGGAGAAUAAAUGAAAAAAAUAAAAUUUUGGAAUUGAAGAAUUAAGAAGAUAACAUGAUAGAGGAUGAAAUUACGAGAACGUAGGCGAAAACGGUGAAGAAAACGGAGUUGAAACGAGAAAGUUAUGAAGAAAACAAAAAUUGAUUGCUGAAGCCUACCGUAACUUACGGUGGUACCGUAAUUUACG
Molecule: long non-coding RNA, 424 nt
Filed under: Helianthus annuus (common sunflower)
Lineage: Eukaryota; Viridiplantae; Streptophyta; Magnoliopsida; Asterales; Asteraceae
Source: RNAcentral